This 1380-nucleotide ribosomal RNA is filed under the name uncultured bacterium. RNAcentral describes it as "bacterial SSU rRNA". It matches the Rfam family "Bacterial small subunit ribosomal RNA", at positions 27 to 1398 of the family's 1533-position model. The record is from RNAcentral.
GAUUGAACGCUGGCGGUAUGCUUAACACAUGCAAGUCGAACGGAAACGAUACUAGCUUGCUAGUAGGCGUCGAGUGGCGGACGGGUGAGUAACGCGUAGGAAUCUGCCUGAUAGUGGGGGAUAGCCCGAAGAAAUUCGGAUUAAUACCGCAUAAUCUAUUCGUAGUAAAGUGGGGGACUUUCGAGCCUCACGCUAUCAGAUGAGCCUGCGUAAGAUUAGCUUGUUGGUAGGGUAAAAGCCUACCAAGGCGACGAUCUUUAGCUGGUCUGAGAGGAUGAUCAGCCACAUCGGGACUGAGACACGGCCCGAACUCCUACGGGAGGCAGCAGUGGGGAAUAUUGGACAAUGGGGGCAACCCUGAUCCAGCAAUACCGCGUGUGUGAAGAAGGCCUGAGGGUUGUAAAGCACUUUCAAUUGUGAAGAAAAGUUAGCGGUUAAUAACCGUUAGCCUUGACGUUAACUUUAGAAGAAGCACCGGCUAACUCCGUGCCAGCAGCCGCGGUAAUACGGAGGGUGCAAGCGUUAAUCGGAAUUACUGGGCGUAAAGCGUGCGUAGGCGGUUUAUUAAGUCAGAUGUGAAAGCCCCGGGCUUAACCUGGGAACUGCAUUUGAAACUGGUCAACUAGAGUAUGGUAGAGGAAAGUGGAAUUUCUGGUGUAGCGGUGAAAUGCGUAGAUAUCAGAAGGAACAUCAAUGGCGAAGGCAGCUUUCUGGACCAAUACUGACGCUGAGGUACGAAAGCGUGGGUAGCAAACAGGAUUAGAUACCCUGGUAGUCCACGCCGUAAACGAUGAUAACUAGCCGUUGGGGGGAUUUACCCUUUAGUGGCGAAGCUAACGCGUUAAGUUAUCCGCCUGGGGAGUACGGCCGCAAGGUUAAAACUCAAAGGAAUUGACGGGGACCCGCACAAGCGGUGGAGCAUGUGGUUUAAUUCGAUGCAACGCGAAGAACCUUACCUGGUCUUGACAUCCUGCGAACUUUCUAGAAAUAGAUUGGUGCCUUCGGGAACGCAGUGACAGGUGCUGCAUGGCUGUCGUCAGCUCGUGUCGUGAGAUGUUGGGUUAAGUCCCGUAACGAGCGCAACCCCUAUCCUUAUUUGCCAGCACAUCAUGGUGGGAACUAUAAGGAGACUGCCGGUGAUAAACCGGAGGAAGGCGGGGACGACGUCAAGUCAUCAUGGCCCUUACGACCAGGGCUACACACGUGCUACAAUGGGAAGGACAAAGAGCCGCGAAGCCGCGAGGUGUAGCUAAUCUCAUAAACCUUUUCGUAGUCCGGAUUGGAGUCUGCAACUCGACUCCAUGAAGUCGGAAUCGCUAGUAAUCGUAGAUCAGAAUGCUACGGUGAAUACGUUCCCGGGUCUUGUACACACCGCCCGUC